UCCCCAACCGAAUAUGAGGAGUCAUCAGAUGACGAGCUGCCUUCCAGGAACUGGAGCAAGGCACAAAGGCAAAUAAAGCCGAGAAUAAAAGGCUGAAAGAAGACAACUUUAAACACCCAAUAGAAGCAAUGAAAGAGCUUCCAGCAGUCGGGCAGAACUUACGAGACAUAGCUGAGCUAUUGUCAUCGAUCUCAAGCAGUGCAUCAGCCGGAUCAACACUCGUGCAAACACCUGUACGAACACCAGCGCGAUCAGAACUGCAACUUUCUGCACCCGCGUCUCCUCAGGUGGACUCUGCUGACUUGGUGUCUCUUGUGCCAGGCGAGUCAAAGUCCCCAGACAGGAGCUCAACUCUCUGCGGACUUCAAAUCACUCAGUUUACAUUGGAGACCUGGCAGUGCUCGUCAACGGCAGAAAAACGCUGUCUUGUGACCCCCCCCCCCCCCACACACACACACACACACACCACUUCACACUGGUUUACACACUUAUCCGUUAGUGCAGUCAACCGCACAGCAGACUAUUAACAUUUUACUGUCAAAUUACCUAAAUAAACAUGAUGAAAUGCUAAAAAGUGGCUUCUUCAAAAGUCUCUUAUAAGUUUCAAAGUGUGUAAACGGUCUUUCUGCCACCUAGCAUGACAGAACUAAAUCCUGGCUAUUCCAGCUGCAGAAAAUGUAUCUUCUGCUUCUUUCGACUAUUUUAACAGCCAAUCUAAAGACAACUAGGCUACAUCGGAGACCUGGCAGUCCUCGUCUACGGCAGGGAAACGCUGUCUUGUGAGCUCAUACUGUCUACUGUAUCCCCAAAAAUGGCAACAAAAAAAAAGAUAAUUUCCCUUGCCAAAAAUUGAUCACAGUGUCCUGGUCACGUGUAAAGGGUAAAAUUUACCUAAAUAUUACCUUAUUUAUUAUCUCUUGAUGUUAUCAGUGCCAUCACAGGAUGCUGGGUCUCUUCCACAUUCAUAAACACCACAAAAAUGGCAACAAAUGACAAUUUCCCUAGCCAAAAAUUGAUCACAGUGUCCUGGUCACCUGCAAAGGGUUAAAUUUACCUAAAUAUUACCUUAUUUAUUAUCUCUUGAUGUUAUUAGUGCCAUCACAGGAUGCUGGGUCUCUUCCACAUUCAUAAACACCACAAAAAUGGCAACAAAUGAUAAUUUCCCUUGCCAAAAAUUGAUCACAGUGUCCUGGUCACCUGCAAAGGGUUAAAUUUACCUAAAUAUUACCUCAUUUAUUAUCUCUUGAUGUUAUUAGUCCCAUCACAGGAUGCUGGGUCUCUUCCACAUUCAUAAACACCCCAAAAAUGGCAAAAUCUCAGUGGCUGCUGAGAUCCGGUAUCCAUGUUGUAGGCGCACUGGCGUCCAUGUCUGCGUCAUGGCCGUCACGAGUCUUUUUUUUUUUUCAUUGCAGAAAAGCAUAUUUACAUUACAAAUAAGGCAAACAUGCCAAUGUAUUCAGAUGAGAAUUGAACAGUCAGUGAAAAGGGGGAGGACAAAAACAAACAAACAAAUAAAAAACACAAAAACAAUGCAAGGGACCACUACACAGUUCCAGGAAGUCUACAAAAAAGUCUAUACAUAUCUUCAUAGCUGUUAUUGAUACAUUUAAGGGAUCUUAGAUACAAUCUAAAAUCAUGUACAAAUGCAUUGAGCACAGGGGGUGAUUUCAGUAUUUUUUGUUUAUGUAUGAAGAAUUUUGCCAGACAAAGAAGUAGAUUGUAGCAGAGUUCUUGGUUGUUUGUUUGAAGGAGAGUUCCAAAGGUGACGACAUCUCUUGAAAUGGGACAUGGGAUUCCAAUCUGAGGUUGAAUCCAGUUUUCAAAACAGUUCCAAAACGUCCGUGUCUUGUUGCAUUCAAAGAAAAUAUGAUCAGUUGUUUCAACAUCCUUCCCACAAAAGGAACAUGAAUUAUCAUCAAUGUUAAAACGUUUUCUGAGCAGAUCCUUUGAGGGAUAGACAUUGUUUANCAAAAGUCUAUACAUAUCUUCAUAGCUGUUAUUAUUGAUACAUUUAAGGGAUCUCAGACACAAUCUUAAAUCAUGUACAAAUACAUUAAACACAGGGGGUGAUUUCAGUAUUUUUUGUUUAUGUAUGAAGAAUUUUGCCAGACAGAGAAGUAGAUUGUAGCAGAGUUCUUGGUUGUUUGUUUGAAGGAGAGUUCCAAAGGUGACGACAUCUCUUGAAAUGGGACAUGGGAUUCCAAUCUGAGGUUGAAUCCAGUUUUCAAAACAGUUCCAAAACGUCCGUGUCUUGUUGCAUUCAAAGAAAAUAUGAUCAGUUGUUUCAACAUCCUUCCCACAAAAGGAACAUGAAUUAUCAUCAAUGUUAAAACGUUUUCUGAGCAGAUCCUUUGAGGGACAGACAUUGUUUAAAAUUUUAAAAUGUGUUUCUUUGACUUAAGGUUGAACAGGAAGUUUUAAAUAAAGAGUCCUUAGUUUAAUAAUGGAGCUUUUACCAAAUUUGUAAAUUAUGUUGUUCUUGUUGGCUUUACAAGGGUAUAGUUGAUCAGUAAAACAUCGUCUAAUAAAUUGGUUGGUACACUUUUUAUCCAUAAGGGGAAUACCUUGGAUGGCGAUAGAACCAUACAGUGGAUUUAUAGGUUGGUGUUGAAUAAUGUUUCUGUACUGGAAGACCACCUCUUUAGGAAGCGCUAUUAAUAAUUUUAUAAAAUCAGAUUUAGGAGGGCUAAAGUUAUAUUUAAGACAAAAUUCAUCGUACCCUAGUAGUUCACCAUUAUCUUUCAUCAAGUGUACAACAGACCAAAUUUUCCUAUCCAUCCAAUCUUCAUUAAAUAGUGACCUAUUACGGCAUAAUACAUAUCUAUUGUUCCAAAUUAUGGAAGAGUGAGGGGAGUAAUUAUGUACAUACAACAACUUCCAAUACAUUAGUACUUGUUUGUGGAACUCUGAUAAUUUUGUGGGCAGUUUGUUUAUAUCAAAAUCUGA
Molecule: long non-coding RNA, 2946 nt
Organism: Nothobranchius furzeri (turquoise killifish)
Lineage: Eukaryota; Metazoa; Chordata; Actinopteri; Cyprinodontiformes; Nothobranchiidae
Source: Ensembl